GGACAGGUGUGGUGAAAUGUGUUUUACAAGGUCAACCAUAGUAGUACAGAUUUUUCAGCUUGUCAGCUCAGACAAUCGAAUCAGUGACCUUUUAGUUACCGGCUCAAUGCCCUGUUGUAAACAGUCUGUUGAUGGGUUAUAUUUAAGAUAAUGUUUUACAUCUAUGUCGUUUAAUUUUUCAUGUUUAAAACAUCUUAUUAAAAAUUUUUAUAUAUUUGACAUGUUCUGAAAAUUACCCCCAAAAAUGUACUGGUACAUUUAUAAAGUUACCGGUAACAUUCCUUUCCUUCACAACCCUACACAUUAACUUAUAUUCAAAAACGUACAGUUUUAAAAAAUCUAAUAUUGGUCACAUAUACAUAUUUAGUAGAUGUUAUUGCGGGUGUUCCUAGCUCCAACAAUACAGUUUUAGAAUGGGUCUGAACAACUGCAUGACAAAGCCAGGAUAGGAACUUCAACAAUACGUAGGUGGACAUAUCACACAAAAUUAUAGUUUUGUAAAUUUCACUGUAAACGGAACUGUAAAGUAAAUAUAAUACAAAUAAAUACAAGCUUAAAAGUAAGUAUUGCCUCUGUUUUUAGAUGUAGAUACAUGGUAUGUAGUUUAAGCAGCACUGUUGUUCCUCAACAGCUAAAGGACUGGAACUGAAAAUGAAUUUGGUGUCCCGUCCAUAUAUGGGUGGAGGGUGGGGGCUAUUUCAAAUGAGAAAUUGUGCAGGGAAGAAAAAGUGCGGACUUGGUAAAGUGAGAGAACUGGAACGGGUCAGAGAGAAAACAAAGGUGGUGUGGAGUGGGGGUGUGGAGGGGUGCCUGGGAACCUCCAGGUAUGGACCUGUCUGGAUGGUUCUCCUCUCCCUGAGUCCCUGCCACACAAAGGUGGCAGGCUGAGCUGGCACAGGGCCAGCGGUGGAGCCUGCCGACCCAGGUGUAGGGUUACAGGGCGCCAUUCAGCCCAGGAAGUGUCCCAUGUCUCACUGUCCCCUGGCCCAUCAAAGGGUCUGCUGUGUACUCUCCAUCUGCCCAGGCCAGACGGGGCCCACGGGCAGGCCCGCGGGUUUGAACAAGGUCCUUUUAAAGUAUUUCGUUAUUCAAGACAAAUUUUCAACAAUGAUUGGACAAACUCCUCUCAGUUGGACACGUUGGUUUCUGAUGGUGUAACUUACAGCUAAAGUAUAGAGACAGAGAAGAUGUCCUGAACAUUACCUCUCAGACCUGCUCUCUGAGUGGGUUUCUAAACAGAUUUGGCAUAAAAACAAAGCUGGCCCUUAAAGAGAAAAGUAUCAAUGCUUGAAAGAUACAUUUUCACUGCUGAAAAUCACAUUACUUUCAUGUUCAGACAGAGGGACACUCAGGAGCUAUCAGGACUCCAAGAGUAUGCUAAACAGAUUGGUAAAAAAAGGUACUGCUGACACAUCAUUUCUCUGUUAAAUGAACAACAAAGAUGGAAUGUAAUAUGACAUUUUAUUCAAUCGUUUGGGAAAUGGCAUCAUCUCUGAGUGAAGAUCCUCGGAGCCAGAUGAUGUGAUGGCAGGUAACCCUAUGCGGGACAGCUGGCAUCGAAAUCCCCCCCUCGCUGGUGGAAAGGAGUUCCAAUGACGGGCCUUAAAGUUCUCAUAGUAGCUGGUGGAAAGGAGUUCCAAUGACGGGCCUUAAAGUUCUCAUAGUAGCUGGUGGAAAGGAGUUCCAAUGACGGGCCUUAAAGUUCUCAUAGUAGCUGGUGGAAAGGAGUUCCAAUGACGGGCCUUAAAGUUCUCAUAGUAGCUGGUGGAAAGGAGUUCCAAUGACGGGCCUUAAAGUUCUCAUAGUAGCUGGUGGAAAGGAGUUCCAAUGACGGGCCUUAAAGUUCUCAUUGUUGCUGGUGGAAAGGAGUUCCAAUGACGGGCCUUAACCUGUUUAGGAUAGGGGGCAGUAUUUUCACGGCCGGAUAAAAAACAUACCCGAUUUAAUCUGGUUAUUACUCCUGCCCAGAAACUAGAAUAUGCAUAUAAUUAUUUGAUUUGGAUAGAAAACACC
This 2013-nucleotide long non-coding RNA is filed under the name Salmo salar (Atlantic salmon). Its description in RNAcentral is "lncRNA (ENSSSAG00000091824.1)". The record is from RNAcentral. Lineage: Eukaryota; Metazoa; Chordata; Actinopteri; Salmoniformes; Salmonidae.